GCCGGGGUAGCUCAAUCGGUAGAGCGUGUGGCUCUUAGUAACCUGCUAGGUCACCUCAAGGUCGCGAGUUCGAGCCUCGCCUUCGGCU
RNAcentral lists this transfer RNA (88 nucleotides) under Patellaria atrata CBS 101060. It matches the Rfam family "tRNA". From Rfam's summary of the family: Transfer RNA (tRNA) molecules are approximately 80 nucleotides in length. Their secondary structure includes four short double-helical elements and three loops (D, anti-codon, and T loops). Further hydrogen bonds mediate the characteristic L-shaped molecular structure. tRNAs have two regions of fundamental functional importance: the anti-codon, which is responsible for specific mRNA codon recognition, and the 3' end, to which the tRNAs corresponding amino acid is attached (by aminoacyl-tRNA synthetases). tRNAs cope with the degeneracy of the genetic code in two manners: having more than one tRNA (with a specific anti-codon) for a particular amino acid; and 'wobble' base-pairing, i.e. permitting non-standard base-pairing at the 3rd anti-codon position. The record is from Rfam by way of RNAcentral. Lineage: Eukaryota; Fungi; Ascomycota; Dothideomycetes; Patellariales; Patellariaceae.